Molecule: unclassified non-coding RNA, 541 nt
Filed under: Hevea brasiliensis (rubber tree)
Lineage: Eukaryota; Viridiplantae; Streptophyta; Magnoliopsida; Malpighiales; Euphorbiaceae
Source: RNAcentral
GGGAAUUGGAGAAACCAAGGUUUUUGAAAAAGUGAACCACAGAUUGAGCAUUUUUAACUGAUUUGGAACUAGAGAAUCGGGUGGAGACACUGAGCUCUUGGGUUUCAGAGAAAUUGAGGGUUUUAUUAGGCAUUGGAAAAGGGCAGAGUUUGUAGGUUUUGAGGUUCUGGCAAAUGAAGAAAAAGAAGGAAAGACAAGCUGUUUGGGGUUGAAAAGUCGAUCGUAUAAAUAGAAAUGUUUAAGAGCAGAUAGUGAUUUCACAAUUUGCAUUUGAAUCGAAAUUACAGUGAAUGGGAUUUAGGGUUUAAGGACAUAAAAAUCAAUGGAAAUUAAUUUGAAAUCCCCUUACAAAUGUCCAAAAAUCAGCACAUAAUUGAGAAAGAAAAACAAGAACUUCUGAUCAAAAGACUGAAAUUUGAAUUUCAAAUUACUAUAAUCAGAAAAAGAUACCAAGAAUCCAUCGUCUUUUCUUUCAUAUCAGUAGCAAUGGCUUUCAGCGGUUGAAUUGAAAGAACCCGUCGCCUUGUGCGCGAAAAAUAAU